AGAGUUUGAUCCUGGCUCAGAUUGAACGCUGGCGGCAUGCUUAAUACAUGCAAGUCGAACGGUAACAGAUUCUUCGGAAUGCUGACGAGUGGCGGACGGGUGAGUAAUACAUAGGAAUCUGCCCAUGUAGUGGGGGACAACUUGGGGAAACUCAAGCUAAUACCGCAUAAUUCCUACGGGAUAAAGAGGGCCACUGCUUGCAAGCUCUUGCUACUGGAUGAGCCUAUGUCGGAUUAGUUAGUUGGUAAGGUAAUGGCUUACCAAGACAGCGAUCCGUAGCUGGUUUGAGAGGAUGAUCAGCCACACUGGGACUGAGACACGGCCCAGACUCCUACGGGAGGCAGCAGUAGGGAGUAUUGGACAAUGGGCGCAAGCCUGAUCCAGCAAUGCCGCGUGUGUGAAGAAGGCCUGCGGGUUGUAAAGCACUUUCAAUUGGGAAGAAAGAUUAUGAGUUAAUACCUUAUAAUAUUGACG
RNAcentral lists this ribosomal RNA (474 nucleotides) under uncultured bacterium. Its description in RNAcentral is "bacterial SSU rRNA". It matches the Rfam family "Bacterial small subunit ribosomal RNA", at positions 8 to 474 of the family's 1533-position model. The record is from RNAcentral.